GGGGUGGUAGAGUGGUGGGGAGCCGAGCUGGGUGGCUGGUUGCUCUGUCCACAUCCUUCUGAGGCCACACAAAGCUGCUCGAGGCCAGGGCCUUGAAUUAGGAAGGGUGGGUCCUGAGAGCUCAUUGCUAUAACACUCCGUUUUUCAGAUCCCUGGUUCCUUAAGUCUUGUUUCCACUUGCUCCUCUGCCUCCUCUCGGGCACAGCCAGCCAAUGACUGGGUCAGCAGUUGGGCUCUGCGAAUCUGGCCAGCCUUCCGCAGGGAUUAAAGGGCAGCUGGGUCUGUGGCUGCUGUGGUGACUGGUGCAGUCUCCAGGAUGGCCGUGCACAGGAUAUACACCUCUACAGUACAGACUGUGCCAGUGUGACUGUUCCUAUGGAAUAUUGGAGAAAAAAGAUGAACCAGAGAUGGGGAAAGAAAAGGGCCUGAGGCUGAAGAUGAGAUGACCCCUAUCAGAACAAGGGGAUUGGUCACUGACUUAAUCAGGGCCCUGGGAUUGGUUUCAGGACCAGUGCUGAUGGUGCAGAAUGGGAAUGACUUUCCGUGGUGUUGCUGUGUCAAGAUUUAUUUUGAGAGAGAGAACAUGAAUAGGGAUUGAAGGAGAAGAAGAGAGAGAAUCUCAAGCAGACUCCCAACUCCCUGCUGAGCAUGAAGCUCAACACUGGGCUCAAUUUCAGGACUCUGAGAUCAUGACCUGAGCUGAAACUAAGAGUUUGACGCUCAACUGCACCACCCACGUGUCUCUCCUUUAGAGUUUUUUACUUUAUUCAGUUUCUCUUUAACUAGACUAUUCCCAUACAAGAAUGUUUCAUAUGAGAUACUUGAGGCUGGGCACUGGCUUCAUUCACUAAGUACUUUUUGGGAUUUUUAUAUGUCUCUUAUUAUACAUUUGAUCAUAUCACAUUUGUGAUGUGGUAUUUUAUUUUAUUUUAUUUUAUCUUAUCUAUCUGUCCAUCUAUCUAUCUAUCUCUAGAUUUUAUUUAUCAGAGAGAGAUGGAGCCAGAGCCAGGCAGGGGGAGCAGCAGGCAGAGGGAGAAACAGGCUCCCCGCUGAGCAGGGAGCCUGAUGUGGGACUCCAUCCCAGGACCCUGGGAACAUGACCUGAUCUGAAGGCAGACACUUAACUGACUGAGCCACCCAGGCAUCCCUAUUUUUUAUUUAUUCUUUAAAAUUACUUCUAUUUUCAAGUCAAUCAGGCAACAGAUAAUAAUUGAGCACUUACUGUAUGCCAGUGAGUAACACAGAACCCAGCCCCGAAGGAGCUCUCAAUUCAGUACAUAUCCAACUGCCUCAUUUUGUGACAAAGAUACUGAGGCUCCAAGAGUUUAAGUGUCUUGUCCACAGUCAUCUGGCUAGAAAGGUCACAGCCAGAAUUGAAC
This 1379-nucleotide long non-coding RNA is filed under the name Mustela putorius furo (domestic ferret). RNAcentral describes it as "lncRNA (ENSMPUG00000026581.1)". Lineage: Eukaryota; Metazoa; Chordata; Mammalia; Carnivora; Mustelidae. The record is from RNAcentral.